This 392-nucleotide ribosomal RNA is filed under the name Pyramimonas disomata. RNAcentral describes it as "partial small subunit ribosomal RNA". It matches the Rfam family "Eukaryotic small subunit ribosomal RNA", at positions 30 to 432 of the family's 1831-position model. Lineage: Eukaryota; Viridiplantae; Chlorophyta; Pyramimonadophyceae; Pyramimonadales; Pyramimonadaceae. The record is from RNAcentral.
GCUUGUCUCAAAGAUUAAGCCAUGCAUGUCUAAGUAUAAACUGCUUAUACUGUGAAACUGCGAAUGGCUCAUUAAAUCAGUUAUAGUUUAUUUGAUGGUACCUCUACUCGGAUAACCGUAGUAAUUCUAGAGCUAAUACGUGCGUAAAUCCCGACUUCUGGAAGGGACGUAUUUAUUAGAUAAAAACCAAUGCCUCGUGCUUUUGGUGAGUCAUGAUAACUGCGCGGAUCGCAUGGCCUUGCGCCGGCGACGCUUCAUUCAAAUUUCUGCCCUAUCAACUUUCGAUGGUAAGAUAGAGGCUUACCAUGGUGUUAACGGGUAACGGGGAAUUGGGGUUCGAUUCCGGAGAGGGAGCCUGAGAAAUGGCUACCACUUCCAAGGAAGGCAGCAGG